UGCGUAUCUACUAAAAGGUCAUAACAUUGUUUGUCUUUCAAAGUUUGAAAUAAAUAUAUUAUUUCUUAAAAGAGUAUUUUUCAAUCAUUUAAAUUACUUUUAAUAUUUAAUUUUAGUUUUAUGUUAGUUUGAUACUGUUAAACUAUACACUAAAAUGUAAGUUUAGUUGCAAACUGACUUCAAAAUUCCGUGUUUGAUUGUUUAUUUCUUUUGUCGUCGUUUUAUGCUCGUUCAACAUUUUGGAAUUUCACUUGGUUUUAUCGUCGGAUUUUCUUGAAAAUAUGGAGGUACAGUUUCUUGGUGGUAUUGGUGGACAGGGCAUUUUUUCAUGUGUCAACGCAGUGCUCAGGAGAUUGAUGACAAAUUCUGCCGCAUCCCAAUACAGCUGGAGUGGGUUCAAAGGAAAGAAAACAUUUAUAAAUUUAAGGCUGUCACAAGUUGUGCUACAUGUACGGUUACAUGUGCCAGGGGCUAUUGAAACUGAAGUGUCAGAGCAGAUACAAGCUUGGUUGAAGCAUGCCAAAACAAGACUUGUCAGAACAUCACAGAAGUUGCCAGUUUCUGACCAGUGUUGAAAAAAGAAGCAUAAGAACUUAAGUGAACUACUUUGUAAUGAAUUUUACCAGGACAUGAAUUAUUGUGCCAAAUGAAUGUUUAAAAAUACCUUGCAUAUAAUACUUUGAUACUCUACUUUGAAAACUAUAAAAUACUUUGUAGAAAUAUUGCAGAAUUAAACUUUUACUUACACUUAUUAAAAGGUUUUGUUUUUUAACUGCCUUCAUGCAACACUAAUGUCUUGAUUCAAAGCUACUAAGCCUAACCAAAAUACUUACCAGACCAGUCUCCAGCUGCGAACGAGUCUCCUCAAAACUCGGUCCAAUCUUCAGCGUGACCGACUCUGGCUUUUGUGAUCUCGACUUGAAGGUCCUCCGGAGUCAACACAGACACAUUGUUAACUUCGAGGAUAAUGUUGCGAACAUGGUGCAAACCUUGUCUGUCGAUUAUGACUCAAUAUAUCAGGGUCAAACGUUGACCUCUUACUACAAAUAAAAAAACUUAAUUUUGUGGAAGUAAAAAAAAGUUUGUUUAUUUUAAUGUUUUCUGUGUGACUCAUGUAAAAUAUUUUUACUGUAAUAAUAGUGAAGCUAUUAAAAGAUAAUUCUGUCAUGUACUACUAUUUAAUUUUUCAGUAUAUAUUUUAUUUCUACCAACAGAGUUUAUUUUUUAAUAACUUGUGUGUAUUAUCUACAUUAUCUAUUACUUACUUAGAUAAAGAGAAUUAAUUCAUCGUACAGUAGCAUCCCGAUUUGAUGAGAUGCCAUGGUUUUCUAAAAUCUUUCCGCUAAAUCAGUGUUUCAUUAAAUCCAACUUCACCAUUGACCUCCAAAUGUCCUUUGGUACGACAUGAUUCAUGUUUUUCUAUACCAAGUUUUUAAAUUGCGAAUGUAAAACUUAUAUCACCCUACUUUCAGAUCUGUCAAAAAAUUGAAGGUACUGUAUUUAAUUGCAUAAUGUCCACACAUUUAUUUUUAAAUACUUGAAAUGGAUUUUUUUUUUUUUUAAAUUUACAUAAAGUCCACACCAGAUUAAAGUAACAAGAUAUUAGUUCCGUGCUGAGAACGUCACCAUCCUGGUUGUUUUGUUUAUUGAUCACUGUUGCCAAAUCUAUGGUGAGUUAUCGUACAACGCAAUAGUAUUAAGCGAGAUUCACGCAUUUGUUAAUUACGGUAAGAAGACACAAGAUUUUUGUUGCUUGUACCAGAGUUCUUGCUACUUUGUACAAGAAAUAUAUCUGUAAGGUAUAGCAAUGCUUGUAUUCCGCCAUCUUUGCCAUCAUCUUAUUUACCGCUGGCUCUACCAAACAUUGUGUCGCCGAUAACAUGGGGAGGGAGGCUCGCCAGCGCCGGCUAAUGCAGACAUUAGACAUCUGCCGCGUGUCGUCAGUGGCCGCCACAAUCAUUGCACCAAUUACACUUCUUUCUGUCCAGACAGUAAAGUGUGUGAUAUCUGACCGACGAGACAGUCAUUGGUGUCAACGACUGCAGUGUAAGCAUGGUCCAACUCCGGUUGGUUACUGGUGUGGGUGGCCAAAAAUAAUAUUGUAACGUUUUUACGCAAUGUUUUCUCAUCACAGCAAGGUAAAUCCAAAUAAACUAAUUAUGAUAAAAGAAAUUUUUUUAUUCUAUAUAAAAACAUGAUGUAAAAUUUUGAGAAAAAAUAAUUUUCGGACUUCACCUCAUAAUGUCCGCACCCCAUUUUCUUCAUAAAAAAUGUUGCCAAAUUACUGCAGACAUUAUGUGAGUAAAUACAGUAUUAAUGUGAUAUGGGCAACAACCAGGGUUUUAAAUUCCAAACAUAAAACAUGUUUGACACUGUUUUCAGAGCUGUCAGAAAAGUGAACUUAUUAUGUGAUAGACUACCUAACUUGGCAAUGCUGCUGAUUAGUUGGCAGAGAAAUGUUGCUUCAAAGUUGUCUGGGACAAUUUUGCUGCAAGGUUGUCUAGGGCAAUUUUGCUGCAAAGUUGUCAGAGUAGCACUGCUGCAAAGUUAUCUGUGGCAUCGUUGCUGCAAAGUUGUCUGUGGCAACGUUGCUGCAAAGUUUUCUGUGGCAACGUUGCUGCAAAGUUGUCUGUGGCAACGUUGCUGCAAAGUUGUCUGUGGCAACGUUGCUGCAAAGUUGUCUGGCAACGUUGCUACAAAGUUGUCUGUGGCAACGUUGCUGCAAAGUUGUCUAAGCAACGUUGCUGCAAGGUUGUCUAAGCAACGUUGCUGCAAGGUUGUCUGGGGCAAUGUUGCUGCAAAGUUGGCUGCACAACGUUGCUGCAAAGUUGGCUGCACAACGUUGCUGCAACACUUUUCUUGGGUUGCUAAGCAAUGUUGACGUUGUUUGGUGGUUUACAAUUCAACGUUGUUACAACGUUGCAUGAACAACGUUUCACAGGGCGGACAUCUGGCCGUUGCAUCAACGUUGAUGCAACGUUGCAUAAACAUUACUUCAACAUUGUAGCAACGUUGACAAAUUUUAAGGCAACGUUGUGGAAACGUUUCUGCAACGUUGAUGUGUUAUGUGG
Molecule: long non-coding RNA, 3071 nt
Organism: Bacillus rossius redtenbacheri
Lineage: Eukaryota; Metazoa; Arthropoda; Insecta; Phasmatodea; Bacillidae
Exons: 4
Source: RefSeq, a predicted model, not a curated record